AGUGAACGCUGGCGGUAGGCCUAACACAUGCAAGUCGAACGGCAGCACAGUAAGAGCUUGCUCUUACGGGUGGCGAGUGGCGGACGGGUGAGGAAUACAUCGGAAUCUACUUUUUCGUGGGGGAUAACGUAGGGAAACUUACGCUAAUACCGCAUAUGACCUACGGGUGAAAGCAGGGGAUCUUCGGACCUUGCGCGAUUGAAUGAGCCGAUGUCGGAUUAGCUAGUUGGCGGGGUAAAGGCCCACCAAGGCGACGAUCCGUAGCUGGUCUGAGAGGAUGAUCAGCCACACUGGAACUGAGACACGGUCCAGACUCCUACGGGAGGCAGCAGUGGGGAAUAUUGGGCAAUGGGCGCAAGCCUGAUCCAGCCAUACCGCGUGGGUGAAGAAGGCCUUCGGGUUGUAAAGCCCUUUUGUUGGGAAAGAAAAGCAGCAGGUUAAUACCCCGCUGUUCUGACGGUACCCAAAGAAUAAGCACCGGCUAACUUCGUG
RNAcentral lists this ribosomal RNA (492 nucleotides) under uncultured bacterium. RNAcentral describes it as "partial 16S ribosomal RNA". It matches the Rfam family "Bacterial small subunit ribosomal RNA", at positions 29 to 507 of the family's 1533-position model. The record is from RNAcentral.